GACGAACGCUGGCGGCGUGCCUAAUACAUGCAAGUCGAACGCUUCUUUCCUCCCGAGUGCUUGCACUCAAUUGGAAAGAGGAGUGGCGGACGGGUGAGUAACACGUGGGUAACCUACCCAUCAGAGGGGGAUAACACUUGGAAACAGGUGCUAAUACCGCAUAACAGUUUAUGCCGCAUGGCAUAAGAGUGAAAGGCGCUUUCGGGUGUCGCUGAUGGAUGGACCCGCGGUGCAUUAGCUAGUUGGUGAGGUAACGGCUCACCAAGGCCACGAUGCAUAGCCGACCUAAGAGGGUGAUCGGCCACACUGGGACUGAGACACGGCCCAGACUCCUACGGGAGGCAGCAGUAGGGAAUCUUCGGCAAUGGACGAAAGUCUGACCGAGCAACGCCGCGUGAGUGAAGAAGGUUUUCGGAUCGUAAAACUCUGUUGUUAGAGAAGAACAAGGACGUUAGUAACUGAACGUCCCCUGACGGUAUCUAACCAGAAAGACACGGCUAACUACGUG
Molecule: ribosomal RNA, 508 nt
Filed under: uncultured bacterium
Lineage: Bacteria
Description: partial 16S ribosomal RNA
Rfam family: Bacterial small subunit ribosomal RNA
Source: RNAcentral